This 332-nucleotide unclassified non-coding RNA is filed under the name soil metagenome. RNAcentral's name for it is "partial contains 5.8S ribosomal RNA, internal transcribed spacer 2, and large subunit ribosomal RNA". The stretch from base 1 to 120 matches the Rfam family "5.8S ribosomal RNA", at positions 35 to 154 of the family's 154-position model. The record is from RNAcentral.
GAUGAAGAACGCAGCGAAAUGCGAUAAGUAAUGUGAAUUGCAGAAUUCAGUGAAUCAUCGAAUCUUUGAACGCGCAUUGCGCCCGCUAGUAUUCUGGCGGGCAUGCCUGUUCGAGCGUCAUUUCAACCAUCAAGCCCUGUUUAGGCUUGUGUUGGGGCCCUGCGGUUGCCGCAGCCCCCUAAAUGCAGUGGCGGGCUCGUUGUCACUCCGAGCGCAGUAGCGUGUCUCGCUCUGGGCGUGGCGGCGGGUGCUAGCCGUGAAACACCCACUAAGGUUGACCUCGGAUCAGGUAGGAAUACCCGCUGAACUUAAGCAUAUCAAUAAGCGGAGGA